Molecule: ribosomal RNA, 458 nt
Filed under: uncultured bacterium
Lineage: Bacteria
Description: partial 16S ribosomal RNA
Rfam family: Bacterial small subunit ribosomal RNA
Source: RNAcentral
CCUACGGGGGGCAGCAGUGGGGAAUAUUGCACAAUGGGGGAAACCCUGAUGCAGUGACGCCGCGUGAGUGAAGAAGUAAUUCGUUACGUAAAGCUCUAUCAGCAGGGAAGAAACACUGACCUUACGGUCAGCAGACGGUACCUGAGUAAUAAGCCCCGGCUAACUACGUGCAAGCAGCCGCGGUAAUACGUAGGGGGCAAGCGUUAUCCGGAUUUACUGGGUGUAAAGGGAGCGUAGACGGUGCGCCAAGUCUGGAGUGAAAUGCCGCAGCUUAACUGGGGAACUGCUUUGGAAACUGGCGAACUAGAGUGCGGGAGGGGUAAGCGGAAUUCCUAGUGUAGCGGUGAAAUGCGUAGAUAUUAGGAGGAACACCGGUGGCGAAGGCGGCUUACUGGACCGUAACUGACGUUGAGGCUCGAAAGCGUGGGGAGCAAACAGGAUUAGAUACCCUUGUAGUC